RNAcentral lists this long non-coding RNA (462 nucleotides) under Mytilus galloprovincialis (Mediterranean mussel). Lineage: Eukaryota; Metazoa; Mollusca; Bivalvia; Mytilida; Mytilidae. The record is from RNAcentral.
AAACUUUUAGGAAUUUUUGGUCCUCAAUGCUCUUCAACUUUGUACUUUAUUUGACCUUUUAAACAUUUUUUGAUUCAAGCGGCACUGAUGAGUCUUUUGUAGACAAAACGUGCGUCUGGCGUAAUUAUAAAAUUUUAAUCCUGGUAUCUAUGAUGAGUUUAUCCCCAUAGGUUAAUGAAUACUAACUUUUUUAAUGUGGAAGGCGAUUUUUUAUCCCUUUUUAUAUACUUGGAAUGUCAAAGCCAGUUAAGUAUAAGAUAUUGCAGGAAUCUUCAAAGUGAAAAAGGGGCAAAAACAUAAGACUCAGUAAUUAUUUUAACAAUGAAUUCAUAGAAAUAAUUUUGAAAUUUUUCAAAAUAUUAUUUAAAUGUAUAGCAAGACAAAGCCUUAUCAUAGUUCAAAUAAUGUAUUUUAAAGAUACGAAUUAAAAGUACAUUGAAUAUGGCAACCAUAGAAAAAGAG